RNAcentral lists this ribosomal RNA (388 nucleotides) under uncultured bacterium. Its description in RNAcentral is "bacterial SSU rRNA". It matches the Rfam family "Bacterial small subunit ribosomal RNA", at positions 30 to 418 of the family's 1533-position model. The record is from RNAcentral.
AUUGAACGCUGGCGGCAUGCCUUACACAUGCAAGUCGAACGGCAGCACGGGGGCAACCCUGGUGGCGAGUGGCGAACGGGUGAGUAAUACAUCGGAAUGUACCCAGUAGUGGGGGAUAACUAGUCGAAAGAUUAGCUAAUACCGCAUACGCACUAUGGUGGAAAGCGGGGGAUCGCAAGACCUCGCGCUAUUGGAGCAGCCGAUGUCCGAUUAGGUAGUUGGUGGGGUAAAAGCCUACCAAGCCUGCGAUCGGUAACUGGUCUGAGAGGACGACCAGUCACACUGGGACUGAGACACGGCCCAGACUCCUACGGGAGGCAGCAGUGGGGAAUUUUGGACAAUGGGGGAAACCCUGAUCCAGCAAUGCCGCGUGUGUGACGAAGGCCUU